This 496-nucleotide ribosomal RNA is filed under the name uncultured bacterium. Its description in RNAcentral is "partial 16S ribosomal RNA". It matches the Rfam family "Bacterial small subunit ribosomal RNA", at positions 899 to 1397 of the family's 1533-position model. The record is from RNAcentral.
ACUCAAAUGAAUAGACGGGGGCCCGCACAAGCGGCGGAGCAUGUUGCUUAAUUCGAGGCAACGCGAAGAACCUUACCAAGGCUUGACAUUCAGGGAAAACUGGCAGAGAUGUCAGGUCCGCAAGGGCCCUGAACAGGUGGUGCAUGGUUGUCGUCAGCUCGUGUCGUGAGAUGUUGGGUUAAGUCCCGCAACGAGCGCAACCCUCGUCCUAUGUUGCCAGCGGUUCGGCCGGGGACUCAUAGGAGACUGCCGGGGUCAACUCGGAGGAAGGUGGGGAUGACGUCAAAUCAUCAUGCCCCUUAUGUCUUGGGCUGCAAACAUGCUACAAUGGCCGGUACAAAGGGCUGCGAUACCGCGAGGUGGAGCGAAUCCCAUAAAGCCGGUCUCAGUUCGGAUCGGGGUCUGCAACUCGACCCCGUGAAGUCGGAGUCGCUAGUAAUCGCAGAUCAGCAACGCUGCGGUGAAUACGUUCCCGGGCCUUGUACACACCGCCCGU